RNAcentral lists this signal recognition particle RNA (293 nucleotides) under Chlorocebus sabaeus (green monkey). RNAcentral's name for it is "Metazoan signal recognition particle RNA". It matches the Rfam family "Metazoan signal recognition particle RNA". Rfam says of the family: The signal recognition particle (SRP) is a universally conserved ribonucleoprotein. It is involved in the co-translational targeting of proteins to membranes. The eukaryotic SRP consists of a 300-nucleotide 7S RNA and six proteins: SRPs 72, 68, 54, 19, 14, and 9. The record is from Rfam by way of RNAcentral. Lineage: Eukaryota; Metazoa; Chordata; Mammalia; Primates; Cercopithecidae.
GCCAGGUAUAGUGGUGCACACCUGUAGUACCAGCAACUCAGGCGGCUGAGGUGAAAAGAUCCCUUGAGCCCAGGAGUUUGAGGCUGCAGUGAGCUGUGAUUGUGCCACCACACUCCACACCACUGCUCCAGCCUGGGUGACAGAGUGAGAGCCUGUCUCCAAAAAAAAAAAAAAAAAGGCUCCCAGGCCCUCCCUCUGUCACCCAGGCGGGAGCAGGGGUGGGGAGUGUGGUGGCACAAUCACAGCUCACUGCAGCCUCAAACUCCUGGGCUCAAGGGAUCUUUUCACCUCAG